Non-coding RNA from Caenorhabditis elegans, 21 nucleotides. Lineage: Eukaryota; Metazoa; Nematoda; Chromadorea; Rhabditida; Rhabditidae. The record is from Ensembl.
UUGGACUUGUGCUGUUUUCGC